ACAACUCCCAUGAUCCCAGGCUACUUCACAACGUCACCAAACUUUGUCUUUUGUUUUCCCUAGCGGCAGAAAUUACUUAUAUAUGCAUUUAAGAAUCAAUAAUAACAAAUCAGUCCUGCUGGUAAAUAACAACAUAACACUGACAGGGUCCAGUCUGCAUAAUGAGUACUUUUACUUUACAAACACUGAAUUAAUGCUGAAUUUGCAAGCUAUUUCCUGCCUGUUUUUGGACCGUGGUUGGUGAGGGCUGUCGUGAAAACGUGAUCUGACCUUUGACCUUUUCUGUGUCCUUGUCAGCACCAGCAGCCAACUGAUAAUGGACCUCACAGAAUCACUAAAAGCAGGUCAGCGGGAGGUCAGCUCUCCUCGUCUGGUCUCCACGACAGCAGAACCCACUCUUCCUCCAAGUUUGGCGGCCGUCCUCUGUUCUCCAAACCGGGCCGAGAGCGAGACCGGGAGCGGGAGCACCGGGAGCGGCUGGCCCAGUCGUCCAGGCUGUUCUGCCGACCCGAACACAGAGACGACAUCUGGAACCACCAGCGCCGCCGGUCCGCCGGGUACGAGGCAUAGAACUGUAGAGAAACACCAGGGAGAGGGGGUGUCAAAGGGUCAAACUUUAUAUAAGCGAUGACUUUAUUCCAGUGUGUUAACCUAUGGAAAAGUACUGCGAGCUCACAUUCACAUCCAGCUUCUUUAGAGCAGUUAACUCGGAGGUGUUUCCUGCUUCUGUAUAAUCAUUUAAAACAAUACACUGCGGUUAAUGUAAAUCUCGACUGAUGCUCUUAUACAGCUAGAAGAGUGCAGACAAACCUUUAUGCUUAAAUCAUUUGUUGUUUUGACUAAAAUGUCUAACUUUUCUGGACGGCAAUAACUUCUGAGUCAUGGGUUACCGGUUGGUGACAUUUUUGAAAUGGCAUUUUUCAAUUUCUUAGUAGGUGAUGAUUAAAGCAGAAACAGGAAGUAGUUGUUUAUAAAAUCUUAUUUUGACAUGAAAAUGUUUGAACCUCUGUAAAUUUAGACUAAAUGUAAGUGAGUUUCCUGCAUAUAUUGUGCAGGAGGGUAUAAACCUAGAAACUUGAUUGGCAAAUUGUAUUCGUUAUUAGUUAAGAAUGAAAAGAAUCCAACACAUUUUAGUUUUUAAAAAAGGGUUUUUUUUUGCAGAAUUUCCUAGAAACUUUGCAUAUUAUGUGAAAUAAUUUUACAAAUGUUAAAUUAAAUGUUUGUAUAGCAUUGUAUAGCUGAAUUAUGCUUCCAUAGCAAUUUGUAUGAAAUUAUUUUUAUAAAUCAAAGUAACAAAACCAUAGAACAUAAGAGACGAGAUUACACUAAAGUAUAAAUCAAUAACUCUUUUAUGUCGGCUGCAGAUCCCAAUGAGAAUGACUACAAACACUAAUGCAAAAGUAAUUUUUCCAAUAGCUUCAAAUUGAAGAAAUCACAUUACACUUUACAGUAACUAUUACUGCAUAACAGGGUUUAAGAACAUAAUAAUGCAAUAACAAAUAUUAAUGCAUGACCAUAGUGGUGUCGCAUUGUAUUGAAGAUUUUGUAUUGGUAACGCUGUGUUAUUGCAUAUAACACAGUUCUUUUCCAUAGAUUACCAUACUGCAAUAGACCAUUAUAAAGGUACUAGGUGCUUUUUCGGGAUGUAAACAUUCAGUAUUCAAACAUAUAAAUGAAUGAUAGCUUCUCGUCUUUUGUUUCAUUUGUUAGCACAAAUCAUAAUAUUUAGUAAAGUAUAACAGGUAAUCUCAGUCUUUAGUGAUACUUCCAUUCUGAAUCAUCUCUGUAUUUUAGAGAAACUUCAGGUAAAAAUGUGCUUUUGUAUUCAUCUACUGAUUUGAUUACAGUUGAGGUCAGAUCAUGGAAGCAAGUUGAAUUUUGAAGAGAGUCUUCUUACUGAAUCUGAUGGAAUGAGGAUAAACAGUGAUGUUGAUGACACGUCCUCUCCUCUGGUUGAACCUUUACAUCCCGGCCCGGUUCCCAAAAAGUCCACAUCAGUCCAGUUAUCUUGACUCUGUCUGUGCUUUGAAGGCCAAACGGCAGCGAUCACUGCCUGCGAUCAUCUUGAUAGCUGACGUAGGUCGUCAAUCGACUGUUCGCUGAAACCUUCCACCAAACAGGCACUGUCCAAUCCUAGCUUAGCAACCAGAGCUAAGCCUUGAAUUUUUUAAAAACCUUUUCUUUUGUGAAAAGAAAAGUGUGGAAGUAAGUUCAUAAGCUAACAGUGUUAGCUUUAGCCCCAGUCUUUCAGCAUGCAUGUAGCCAUCAAGCGCCUAUUAAAACGAGUCAGUUUGAAGCAUUAAAAAGUCAGCCGGAGACUGCGGUUUCAACCAACUCAUGGAGUCAAAGUUAGCUUAAUUAGCUUGCUAGCUGCAGCUGAUCAAAUCUGCCAGCAACAGUGUCAUUUAACCGACAAAAUCACCAUUUCCCAGUAAGAAAUGAAGAGCCUGCUCUUGUCUACCUCUGUCUGAAAUCAUGAACCCAUUGUUUGGAAACAAAUUUUGAAUGGUAAAUCUGUCCUUGGUGUCCUUGGUGUCCUUGUAAGCUCCAUAUAUACUGCACAAAUAUCUAACCUGCACUAUCUGCACCCCCACCAGCAAGACCUGUAGGGGCGGUUACAGGGUUCAUCCUCACAGAUGGAGUCUGUUCCUCUUAGAAGGUCAGGCAGACGCUUCUGUAUCCACUAGACUCUCUCUUAAGACUCCCAGUUUUUUGCAGCUGUAUAGCAUUUUUUGAUUCAAAUUUGGUCCCACUGCGAGGGGGAAGCCAUGGUCAUAUUUGGGUGCUUCUGUUCCCAUCAGAAAUGCAUUAUCUGGCCAAUGAUAAUAGUGAAAUAGUUUAGUUAUAAUUGAUUUAGAUUCGAAUUUCAUAACAGAUAACAAACAAAACUGUCGGUCCCAUCCUCCACUCAUACUGUCUUUCAUACUUUUGAAGCAGUAGCUCUAAUUGUUAUUAAUUGCUGUAGAUAUAAUGGUAAUGAAUAAUCUCAUCCAUUAAAAACAUUUUAUUUUGAUUGAGUUGUUGUUACGUUCUGCCCUCACAGCUCUGGUUUGGUUCGUAAAGCACAGACAGGAGUUUGAUGACACCAGACCUGAGUCAAAUAACCUUUGCAUAUAAUUCUUGGCUUUAGUUUGAGUAGGUUUCACUACAUUAGGAUCCAGAUACUGUCCGCUGUUUGUACAUAGAGAGGAACGUUAGAUAUAUUGACUUGGAAAUACUUUAUUGUGAUUUUUACUUUUUCGGGCAGUCUUGGUCUUAUGUAGCCAAUCAGCCACCAAUCUGCUACCAAAGCAGUAUUAAACCAGGGAUGUUGUUGAGGGUAAUCCCAGAUCAGGUGUACACAUUUGUUUUUGUUAUGUAGAAUAUGGCACCUUUUUUUUUUUUUUUUUUUAAGGAAGAGUGCAACAUUUUUGGGAGGUAAGCUUGUUUUCUGUCAGAUGAGAAGAUGGAUAUCAGAUUUAUCUCUGUCCAGUAUGUGUGUUAGCCUAGCUUAGCACAAAGACUGGAGAGCAGGGACAACUGCUUGAUUGGAGGUGAAAACAUAAACACCAAAUACUCACUAGAGCAACAAAUGUGGAUUCAUCCACUGCUGAAAAUAGUCCCCAACAAACACACUAUUUCCUCCUGUCUGUUAGAAACUACAGUGAGCAGCUUUUAGGAAAUUACUGAGCCUUUUUUAUUCAUGAAACUAUAUGUUUGAGAGGUGUUCUUUAAAGUUUCUCAACUCCAACCAGCAGGCUUGAAUCUGAGAGCCACAGACAGGAAGUCAGAAAGUAUUGAGAAAGGGUCUUUUUGUGGAAUUUGUUGACAAUAACAAAAACAUAGAAUUACAUCAGACAUAUUCUUUCAUUAUACAGCAUGUCAAUAAAACAGGUUUGGAGUUAUUUGGAAGGUGAGCUUUUUCACUUUUGGUGGAGCCAGGCAGGUUGCCCUGCUUCCAGUCUUUGGAAAACUGCAUAUUUUACCCUCCACUGCAUCACCGGAUAAAACCAGCCACAUACAUGCAGGUUCAGUUUGGCCCAGGUCUGGAGGACCCCACACAUAUAACGAAUGUACUCUUGAGUUAACGUAUAGCUCACACUGAAGAGAUGCCAUGUUUUAAGACCUAACUUUUGUCUCGUCGUUCAGGCUUAAACUGGCACUCAUUCACACAGAAACGGGUGGAGAUUCUCCGAUCACAAAUAUAUGACGCCGUAUCAACGCUUUCAUCCAAAGUGACUUACAGUGCCGUGAAUGCAUACAGUACCUUUGCAGUAUACUAAACAGCUCAUGGCGGCUUGUUUAAUAGAAUCAUUCCUGUCUCUGCAUCAUUCUGUACGAUCUGUUUACACGUCAUUUUUGCACUCAUCCAAUGAUAAGAAUGUAUAUGUAAAAAGACGGUAUUCGGUGUAAAAUGUAUCUUUGCUGUCGGUGGUUUAGGUUUUGUUGACAGUGUUGAUAGAUAUUUUGUAUACAAAGCUAUUAUGUGUCGUCAAGUGGAAGUAGUAGUCCUACAGUACUUUAACUUGGCAGGACAUUUAUCUGGGUCACAAACACAAAUCAAGUCUUUUUACUUUUCAACAGGGUGACUGACUGCAGGUCCUAGAAAGGUCCCUGAAAUGAUGCUAUGUAUGUAUUAUAUUAUAUAUUGUGUUGUUUUUUUAUAUAGUUGUUUCAAGUUAGUUGAUUUUAGUGAUUUAAAUAGUCAAGUUUAUAAUUGGCAUCAAUAAGUUCAUAAUUAAAUCUUAGUGAAGAGAGCUUUCCGACACCUUUUCAAAGACCUGACUAGCAGUUGUGUCAAUUAUGAUUUAUUCCAAAGUUAUUGGAAGUUGCCAAUUUUUAAGCCAAUCGUUUUCCUGUAUUUUAUUUCAUCAGUUGAACAAACCCGAUCAGAUCUGUAACAGUUUCAGUGAAUACCUGAUUCUGUUUUACAGGCUAAAAAGCAUUUGCCUCCUGUCGUUUUGAUGGCUUCAUGGUAAACGUGAAUUUUGUCACGUUUACUCUCUACUGCUUUUUACCACUUAAAAACACGAUCCAGAUAAAUUUGGACAAACUGCCCACUGAGUAUUCCAGAGAUCCACAUGUGAUCAGACCUCUGAGUCCUUUAGCACUUUGUGAGUUUUGGCACUGGUGAGCGUUACUGCUGCUGUCAACUAAAAACCCUGUUUGUUUAUGGCUCAACAAUAAGGAUUGCCCGGGGCUAGUAUAUCUAGCAACUCGCUUGCCCAAAAAAAGACACAGUUUUCAAGUGUGCAUGUGGGCCACUUGUCUGACCUGGCAAGUAAAGAAAAACAUUAACGCUGAACCUUGUUGUCUUUGGCUUUCAGUAAUUGAAAGAACCAAGAACUGAUAUACGUAUAAUAUCAACAGCAUGAAAGCUUUUGGGCCCUGAGUCUCAAACCCUGAUCGAUCAAUGAUCCCACCAACAAUCAGAUUGUGGUUUUUAUGCGAACAGCAGCAUGACUGUUGAAAGAUGUGCGUGUGUGUUUGGAGGAGUGUGCGCAGUGCUUCAGGUUUGUCUCUGUUGUACUGCUUCCUGUUGUAUGUCAUUGGAAGGUGGUGGAAGAUGCAUGAGACAGCCCUACUACUACUACUACAUAUGUAGCUAUUGUGUUACUGUGAAAGCAUGCUUCAUAUGUAGCAAAAAAAAAGUACUUAUAAAAUACUGUUAUCUUGUACUACUAUGUGUACUUUUGUAGCAGAGCGAGGUCUAUUUUAUUGGUACAGUCUUUGAAGGAAAGUUGCACUAAACCAACCCAGAGCACUUGGAGCUCGGAUCUGUCGGAUUUCAUAUGAAGGGAGUGUUGUAUAUUGGACAAUCAGCAGGGUUAAUGCACAGGUCUGGAAAAUAAAUUUAAUUACUUCUGUGUUUUGAAAUGUUUUGGGAAAAUGUGCAAGAGCUCUGAGACGGAGAGAGAAAAAAAGCUUGAGAAGUGGGUGAAAGCAUAACCGAACAAGUAUUCUAACUGUUAGUUUGAUUAUGACACUACUACCUUUCUUGCCGUGAGUCGGUAGAGAUAAAGUUAGUUUUAUGUUGUGUAAAACCAAGUUUGAUAUCCUUGGGUUCAUCAUGUUUGUCUGUAGGGAUUUCGUUUGCAGAAGUAAUCUCUAGUUUUGUGCCUUCACUCAAAAACUCUGUAGUCUGUAUAACACUGUGCAAAAUGCAAUACUGUGAAGAACUGGAAUACUUUUUAUGUUGAAACUUGUCGGUCUGUGUGAUAACCAUUGAAGAUUAAAGAACAAACAUGACACCAA
Morone saxatilis (striped sea-bass) is the source of this 6234-nucleotide long non-coding RNA. RefSeq lists it as uncharacterized. Lineage: Eukaryota; Metazoa; Chordata; Actinopteri; Moronidae. The transcript has 2 exons. The record is from RefSeq and is a predicted model, not a curated record.